RNAcentral lists this ribosomal RNA (486 nucleotides) under uncultured bacterium. RNAcentral's name for it is "partial 16S ribosomal RNA". It matches the Rfam family "Bacterial small subunit ribosomal RNA", at positions 30 to 507 of the family's 1533-position model. The record is from RNAcentral.
AUUGAACGCUGGCGGCAUGCCUUACACAUGCAAGUCGAACGGCAGCACGGGUGCUUGCACCUGGUGGCGAGUGGCGAACGGGUGAGUAAUACAUCGGAACAUGUCCUGUAGUGGGGGAUAGCCCGGCGAAAGCCGGAUUAAUACCGCAUACGAUCUACGGAUGAAAGCGGGGGACCUUCGGGCCUCGCGCUAUAGGGUUGGCCGAUGGCUGAUUAGCUAGUUGGUGGGGUAAAGGCCUACCAAGGCGACUAUCAGUAGCUGGUCUGAGAGGACGACCAGCCACACUGGGACUGAGACACGGCCCAGACUCCUACGGGAGGCAGCAGUGGGGAAUUUUGGACAAUGGGCGAAAGCCUGAUCCAGCAAUGCCGCGUGUGUGAAGAAGGCCUUCGGGUUGUAAAGCACUUUUGUCCGGAAAGAAAUCCUUGGCCCUAAUACGGUCGGGGGAUGACGGUACCGGAAGAAUAAGCACCAGCUAACUACGUG